CCUACGGGGCGCAGCAGUAGGGAAUCUUCGGCAAUGGACGAAAGUCUGACCGAGCAACGCCGCGUGAGUGAAGAAGGCUUUCGGAUCGUAAAACUCUGUUGGUAGAGAAGAACGUUGGCGAGAGUGGUAAGCUCAUCACGUGACGGUAACUACCCAGAAAGGGACGGCUAACUACGUGCCAGCAGCCGCGGUAAUACGUAGGUGCCGAGCGUUGUCCGGAUUUAUUGGGCGUAAAGCGAGCGCAGGUGGUUUCUUAAGUCUGGUGUAAAAGGCAGCGGCUCAACCGUGGUAUGCCUUGGAAACUG
RNAcentral lists this ribosomal RNA (305 nucleotides) under uncultured bacterium. RNAcentral's name for it is "bacterial SSU rRNA". It matches the Rfam family "Bacterial small subunit ribosomal RNA", at positions 338 to 635 of the family's 1533-position model. The record is from RNAcentral.